GCGUUAUCCGGAUUUACUGGGCGUAAAGGGCGUGUAGGUGGUUGCGUAAGUUGGUUGUGAAAUCUCCCGGCUCAACUGGGAAACUGCAGCUAAAACUGCGUGGCUAGAGUGGCAGAGAGGAAAGUGGAAUUCCCGGUGUAGUAGUGAAAUGCGUAGAUAUCGGGAGGAACACCAGCGGCGAAGGCGACUUUCUGGCUGCCAACUGACACUGAAACGCGAAAGCUAG
This 226-nucleotide ribosomal RNA is filed under the name uncultured bacterium. RNAcentral's name for it is "partial 16S ribosomal RNA". It matches the Rfam family "Bacterial small subunit ribosomal RNA", at positions 538 to 763 of the family's 1533-position model. The record is from RNAcentral.